CCUACGGGUGGCAGCAGUGAGGAAUAUUGGUCAAUGGGCGAAAGUCUGAACCAGCCAAGUAGCGUGAAGGAUGACUGCCCUAUGGGUUGUAAACUUCUUUUAUAUGGGAAUAAAAUGUUCCACGUGUGGGGUUUUGUAUGUACCAUAUGAAUAAGGAUCGGCUAACUCCGUGCCAGCAGCCGCGGUAAUACGGAGGAUCCGAGCGUUAUCCGGAUUUAUUGGGUUUAAAGGGGGCGUAGGGGGAUUGUUAAGUCAGUUGUGAAAGUUUGCGGCUCAACCGUAAAAUUGCAGUUGAAACUGGGAGGCUUGAGUACAGUAGAGGGGGGCGGAAUGCGUGGUGUAGCGGUGAAAUGCUUAGAUAUCACGAAGAACCCCGAUUGCGAAGGCAGCUCACUGAACCGUAACUGACACUGAGGCUCGAAAGCGUGGGUAUCAAACAGGAUUAGAUACCCUAGUAGUC
This 460-nucleotide ribosomal RNA is filed under the name uncultured bacterium. RNAcentral's name for it is "partial 16S ribosomal RNA". It matches the Rfam family "Bacterial small subunit ribosomal RNA", at positions 338 to 795 of the family's 1533-position model. The record is from RNAcentral.